GGAGCCUCACGCGCCUCUUACCUAACAGGAAGUUGGGUGGAAGCAGCGCGGACCCACGGCGCACCGAACGCACUCCAACAGAACCCGACGCAGACACGCGCUUUCAACCGGCGGAGACACUGGCAGGGUUUAUAUGUGGAAGAGACUUGCCCUGUCUCAGCUCUGCUGCCCCCUGCCCCAUACACGUGAUGGAGCAGAAAACGUGCUGUGUGAACCUGUGACUUCAGGGCCUGUUGACGUGGUCGUGCUUGCAUACUCUCUGGACUGGACCUCACUGUGGGAACAACAAGAUCAACAAGAGGAGCAAGAACAACAUCAAGAGUCAGGGCCCGGGGGUCCUGACGGGUACAGGAUGGGUACAGACCCACACAGGAAUCCCAGAGUGUGUUCCACAGCAGGACACGCCUGCGCUGAAAGAGUGGGCAGAAAGGAGCUGACCUGGGAUUAUGAUCCAAACUCAGCUGGGCCUCCCCUACCUGCCCCAGGAUUGUGGAGUGAGAACGUUGCAGCAGGGGAGAACAACGCAGCAAAGCACAGCAGGGGAACCGGAAAUGCUCACCCUUUGACAGGGUACUUUUAGUUCUGGGGCCUUAUCUUAAGGAUAUUCCAACAUAUACAAAAAGAUUCAUGCACAGAGAUAUUUACUUUAGUAUUAUUUACCAUAGGAAAAAAGUUGGAAACAAUACAUUUUAUGUUCUGUAAAAUGAAAGAACAGUUAAAUAAAUCAUGGCUCUAAGACGACUCCAGGGCUGUGUACGGAAGUUCAGGGACUGAAUCAGUUGAGGCUGUUCCACCUGAGCCUAAGCUUCCUCUGCUGUAUGUCAGGAAUCAGGUGGGGGCCAAGCGAGAUCACCACAGUGCAGGCCAGUGUGCAGGGCACAGGUGGGCGCC
Molecule: long non-coding RNA, 891 nt
Organism: Homo sapiens (human)
Lineage: Eukaryota; Metazoa; Chordata; Mammalia; Primates; Hominidae
Source: Ensembl